Molecule: small nucleolar RNA, 99 nt
Filed under: Zea mays
Lineage: Eukaryota; Viridiplantae; Streptophyta; Magnoliopsida; Poales; Poaceae
Description: Small nucleolar RNA snoR99
Rfam family: Small nucleolar RNA snoR99
Source: Rfam by way of RNAcentral
GUGCCUGUGGGAUGAACACGUCCCAACAUUCACUUCAUUUUUUCACUUUGUCAGCUAAUAGCCAUACAUGUUUAGCUGAUUGUUAAGACCAGGAAAUGC